RNAcentral lists this ribosomal RNA (908 nucleotides) under Vibrio rotiferianus. RNAcentral's name for it is "bacterial SSU rRNA". It matches the Rfam family "Bacterial small subunit ribosomal RNA", at positions 374 to 1275 of the family's 1533-position model. Lineage: Bacteria; Pseudomonadati; Pseudomonadota; Gammaproteobacteria; Vibrionales; Vibrionaceae. The record is from RNAcentral.
GGCGCAGCCUGAUGCAGCCAUGCCGCGUGUGUGAAGAAGGCCUUCGGGUUGUAAAGCACUUUCAGUCGUGAGGAAGGUGGUGUAGUUAAUAGCUGCAUUAUUUGACGUUAGCGACAGAAGAAGCACCGGCUAACUCCGUGCCAGCAGCCGCGGUAAUACGGAGGGUGCGAGCGUUAAUCGGAAUUACUGGGCGUAAAGCGCAUGCAGGUGGUUUGUUAAGUCAGAUGUGAAAGCCCGGGGCUCAACCUCGGAAUAGCAUUUGAAACUGGCAGACUAGAGUACUGUAGAGGGGGGUAGAAUUUCAGGUGUAGCGGUGAAAUGCGUAGAGAUCUGAAGGAAUACCGGUGGCGAAGGCGGCCCCCUGGACAGAUACUGACACUCAGAUGCGAAAGCGUGGGGAGCAAACAGGAUUAGAUACCCUGGUAGUCCACGCCGUAAACGAUGUCUACUUGGAGGUUGUGGCCUUGAGCCGUGGCUUUCGGAGCUAACGCGUUAAGUAGACCGCCUGGGGAGUACGGUCGCAAGAUUAAAACUCAAAUGAAUUGACGGGGGCCCGCACAAGCGGUGGAGCAUGUGGUUUAAUUCGAUGCAACGCGAAGAACCUUACCUACUCUUGACAUCCAGAGAACUUUCCAGAGAUGGAUUGGUGCCUUCGGGAACUCUGAGACAGGUGCUGCAUGGCUGUCGUCAGCUCGUGUUGUGAAAUGUUGGGUUAAGUCCCGCAACGAGCGCAACCCUUAUCCUUGUUUGCCAGCGAGUAAUGUCGGGAACUCCAGGGAGACUGCCGGUGAUAAACCGGAGGAAGGUGGGGACGACGUCAAGUCAUCAUGGCCCUUACGAGUAGGGCUACACACGUGCUACAAUGGCGCAUACAGAGGGCAGCAAGCUAGCGAUAGUGAGCGAAUCCC